RNAcentral lists this ribosomal RNA (168 nucleotides) under uncultured Clostridium sp. RNAcentral's name for it is "partial 16S ribosomal RNA". It matches the Rfam family "Bacterial small subunit ribosomal RNA", at positions 339 to 524 of the family's 1533-position model. Lineage: Bacteria; Bacillati; Bacillota; Clostridia; Eubacteriales; Clostridiaceae. The record is from RNAcentral.
CCUCGGGAGGCAGCAGUGGGGAAUAUUGCACAAUGGGCGAAAGCCUGAUGCAGCAACGCCGCGUGAGUGGUGAAGGCCUUCGGGUUGUAAAGCUCUGUCUUUUGGGACGAUAAUGACGGUACCAAAGGAGGAAGCCACGGCUAACUACGUGCCAGCAGCCGCGGUAAU